UAUCAACCUCAAAGUUUCAGGUUUCAUUAGU
This 31-nucleotide non-coding RNA is filed under the name Mus musculus (house mouse). The record is from RNAcentral. Lineage: Eukaryota; Metazoa; Chordata; Mammalia; Rodentia; Muridae.